This 253-nucleotide ribosomal RNA is filed under the name uncultured bacterium. Its description in RNAcentral is "partial 16S ribosomal RNA". It matches the Rfam family "Bacterial small subunit ribosomal RNA", at positions 524 to 776 of the family's 1533-position model. The record is from RNAcentral.
GACAGAGGGUGCAAACGUUGUUCGGAAUUACUGGGCGUAAAGCGCGUGUAGGCGGCCCUGCAAGUCGGAUGUGAAAUCCCACGGCUCAACCGUGGAAAUGCAUUCGAAACUGCAGGGCUAGAGUCCUGGAGAGGAAGGUGGAAUGCUUGGUGUAGAGGUGAAAUUCGUAGAUAUCAAGCGGAACACCGGUGGCGAAGGCGGCCUUCUGGACAGUGACUGACGCUGAGACGCGAAAGCGUGGGGAGCAAACAGG